Molecule: long non-coding RNA, 1452 nt
Organism: Tigriopus californicus
Lineage: Eukaryota; Metazoa; Arthropoda; Copepoda; Harpacticoida; Harpacticidae
Exons: 3
Source: RefSeq, a predicted model, not a curated record
UGGCUUUCAUAUGGAGGGAGAAAGUUGGAAUGCCGAACCCCAUCCAUCCACUACUCACCCACUCAUUCUAACCAUUUUCAGUUGAACGUUGGACGUUGAGGAGAACUCCUCUCUGGCUGUUGGGAAAUUCCUCAACCCUUUUGUGACCAGAUGAUCGUUAUUAUUACCAUUAUGACGAGCGAACCCACAACCACCACCGUCGUCGCCGAUGUCGAUGUCGAUGUUGAGAGGGUUGUUGUCGGCGUUUUCUCGGACAAUCCAGGAUCUCACUUAGCAACCCAGAGCUAACUCGUCGAGGAUUGGCAAUUGGCAUUGCUCUCGGCUGAUUUGGUCUGGUUUGGUGGCAUUUGGAAAAUGGUUGGAGAAGGAAAUGGAGAGAAAAUUGAAAAGCAUCUGCGGUAUAACCACCAUUGCUCUCAUUGCUUGCUGGAAUGAUGAUGAUAAGCUGAAGUUGUUGGACGGCAAAUGUGACCCAUUGAAAUGGAAUGCCCUUUCUCAUUCUCGGUUUGAUCUCGAUCAAAAUUUGUAAGGUCACCAACUUCCAAAUGCCCUCUGACCAGAUCGGAUCCAGGCUCAAUAACAAUCUUCAAACUGAUUUAAUACUCAACAUUUGGGCUCUAAAACCUAGACCCUGUCAUUCAAUCAUCAGUCGCGGAUUCUCCGAUCAAGGAAGUGAGAUCGGGAGCAAAUUCGAUGUACCCCAUAAUUGUUAUUAGUCAUUGAUCAUUGAUGGACCCCCACCUGGAUCGAAGCCGGAAGGGCAUAAGAACCAAGACGGAUCACCAUCACAUGUCAAAUGACCAUGUGUCUCUGUGGUGGAAUGGAAUAAUUUCCAUCAAUUGAAAACAGAAGAGCUUGACCGAGGUGAAAAGGUGGUUGCACGGUCGGAUCUGCGAGCUCAUUGAACCACAAUGGAUUUGUUAUUGCACUUGAAAUGUGUUUGCAUUACGUCCAUUUCCGGUGGUCAUUGCUCGUUGGAUGAGCAUAAGUCCCCCAUCUGGAUGAUGUCCAAUUGUCCGAUUGUCCAUAGGGAAGUGAGGGUGUUCUACUGUACGUACAUUGACUGUGGUCGGUCAAUUUCACAGCAAUUAGCCAUUCAGUUUAUGAACGAUGACAGUGACGAUAAUAAGCCAUCACGAUAAGAACUCAUCCCUCACCUGGACUCUAAAGCGAUGAACAAAAGGGUUUUGUCUAUCUUCCACUUGGACCCGGUGAAUUAGUUCAAAUCCUAAAUUUUUUGAACAAUCUUUGGCUUAAAAAAAAUGCGCUGGACCUGAAAAGGAGGAUCCAUUUUGCUCGAGAGGUUUAAAACGAUAACCAUGCCAUGUUACUUUUGGCCAAAACCAUGGUUUUCAUGCGUAUCUGAUUGAUGAUAAUUUAGACAUAUUGACGUACAAAUCACCCAUUUACAUUUUGUCUUUUCAGCUCUUUCAAAUAUAUUGUUCACACCGA